Molecule: unclassified non-coding RNA, 531 nt
Filed under: Hevea brasiliensis (rubber tree)
Lineage: Eukaryota; Viridiplantae; Streptophyta; Magnoliopsida; Malpighiales; Euphorbiaceae
Source: RNAcentral
GCUUCGGCUUGUUAGAAACAGGCUUACAGGUAGCUUUCCUUCGGAGAUGUGCAAGUUGACGAACCUUUCUGCCAUUGAAUUGGAUCAGAACAAGUUUAGUGGUCCGAUUCCUCCGGCCGUUGGCAACUGUCAGAAGUUGCAGAGGCUUCAUAUUGCAAACAAUUACUUCACUAAUGAGCUGCCUAAGGAAAUAGGUAAUCUGUCUCAACUUGUGACUUUUAACGUCUCUUCUAAUUUGCUCAAAGGACAGAUUCCACCUGGAAUUGUUAACUGCAAGAUGCUUCAACGACUUGAUCUCAGCCACAACAGCUUUGUAGAUGCUUUACCAGAACAGCUUGGAACCCUUCUGCAGUUAGAGCUUCUCAAGCUUUCAGAAAAUAAAUUCUCUGGGAAUAUACCUCCAGCAUUGGGAAAUCUCUCUCACUUGACUGAAUUGCAGAUGGGUGGCAAUUUAUUUUCUGGUGAAAUUCCUCCAGAGUUGGGUUCUCUUUCAAGCUUGCAGAUUGCAAUGAAUCUCAGUAAUAAUAAUCU